UGUUUAUGAUCACCCGCCUAACCAGCCUACUACUUCACGCAGCUUAUUUGCGCGGUAUGGCGGUGGACGGGAUCCCGAACUGAUUCAGCCCUCUCCCAGAUUAAAACCCGCGCCGUUGCGCGGGUUUUUUU
Molecule: small RNA, 131 nt
Filed under: Chimaeribacter coloradensis
Lineage: Bacteria; Pseudomonadati; Pseudomonadota; Gammaproteobacteria; Enterobacterales; Yersiniaceae
Description: Leucine operon leader
Rfam family: Leucine operon leader
About the family: At least 6 amino acid operons are known to be regulated by attenuation.
Source: RNAcentral